GAAACUAACAAGGAUUCCCCUAGUAACGGCGAGCGAAGCGGGAAGAGCUCAAAUUUGAAAGCUGGCGUCUUCGGCGUCCGCGUUGUAAUCUUGAGACGUGUUUUCCGUGCGGCUCUAUGGACAAGUCCCUUGGAACAGGGCAUCGUAGAGGGUGAAAAUCCCGUACUUGCCAUGGAAGUACCGUGCUUUGUGAUACACGCUCCAAGAGUCGAGUAGUUUGGGAUUGCUGCUCAAAGUGGGUGGUAGACUCCAUCUAAAGCUAAAUAUCGGGGAGAGACCGAUAGCGAACAAGUACCGUGAGGGAAAGAUGAAAAGCACUUUGGAAAGAGAGUUAAAAGUACGUGAAAUUGUCGAAAGGGAAGCACUUGAAGUCAGCCAUGCUGCUUGAGACUCAGCCUGGCUUUUGCUUGGUGUAUUUCUCGGUAGCAAGCCAGCAUUGGUUUGUGUCGUCGGAGAAGCGUAUGGGGAAUGUGGCAUCCUCGGAUGUGUUAUAGCCCAGUGCAGGAUACGACGACGUAGACCAAGGAACGCAGUGUGCCCUCUGGGCGGGUCUUCGGACACCUUCACACUUAGGAUGCUGACGUAAUGGCUUUAAACGAC
This 600-nucleotide ribosomal RNA is filed under the name uncultured Basidiomycota. RNAcentral's name for it is "eukaryotic LSU rRNA". It matches the Rfam family "Eukaryotic large subunit ribosomal RNA", at positions 61 to 648 of the family's 3401-position model. Lineage: Eukaryota; Fungi; Basidiomycota. The record is from RNAcentral.